RNAcentral lists this non-coding RNA (89 nucleotides) under Pseudomonas tolaasii NCPPB 2192. The record is from RNAcentral. Lineage: Bacteria; Pseudomonadati; Pseudomonadota; Gammaproteobacteria; Pseudomonadales; Pseudomonadaceae.
UGUGGGAGCUGGCUUGCCUGCGAUAGCGGUGGGUCAGCAGCCCCAUGUUUGACUGAUGGAUUGCUAUCGCAGGCAAGCCAGCUCCCACA